This 298-nucleotide small RNA is filed under the name Pongo abelii (Sumatran orangutan). RNAcentral describes it as "processed transcript". The record is from RNAcentral. Lineage: Eukaryota; Metazoa; Chordata; Mammalia; Primates; Hominidae.
GGCUCUUUUCCAAGAAGUGGAUUUUCAUUCAAAGUUUUUUAUCCUUCUAAUAAGACAGUAGAAGAUAGGCAUCCUAACGUGAUUUCUCAGAUAACUAUAUUUUGAAAAAGUUCCCACCACUGGUUAAGAACAAGUGACCAGGCAGGGCACGGUGGCUCACACCUGUAAUCCCAGGACUUUGGGAGACCGAGCAAACUUCAAGGCUUUUGAGAUUCUUAAAGACCAUCUGAAGAAAAUUCAUCAGUUUUCUGCUUAACUCUAUAUCUUAUGUGAUUUUGAUAUUACAAUAAAAUUAUGG